UAUAAUAUAGUUCAAUGGUAGAGUAUUUGCCUAUCAUGCAUAUUUGCUGGGUUUGAUUCCCAGCACCAAAA
Molecule: transfer RNA, 71 nt
Filed under: Marmota monax (woodchuck)
Lineage: Eukaryota; Metazoa; Chordata; Mammalia; Rodentia; Sciuridae
Description: tRNA.Asp
Source: RNAcentral